CCUUUGGUUUUGUUAUCAACAAUUUGCUCUAUGAUCUAUGGCCAACUUCUAUUAUUCAAAACCCAAACUCCAUUCAUCCACCACCUUUUUAUUUCUUCUUUGCCUUCUACUUGCACGCCUACAACUUUCAAGUGCUAAUCAGACAUUCCCAACAAAAGUGAACCAUAGUUAUAGUCAAAGCAACAUCCAAAGAAUUCGACUUGACAAUCCGACCCUUGGCUUUCUUGUGGAAAAGAAAUUGUCAUUGCUACUCAAUUUGUACCCUUACUUGAGUUAUAUCAACACCCAUAACAUGCCUCUCAAUUAUGCACUUUUACAAGGACGUCGGCUAUUGUUCAUGGCAAAUUUGUUUACCAAAAUAUGUUCCAUGACUUUUUGGAUGCUGUUUAUUCUGUGUUGGACGAGUCCAAUGGUGAAGAGGACUUUGUAUCGGAUAGUCGUUGGCUAACCGACGUUGUAGUAGAAUUGUUUCAAGCAAAUUUUCAAGAAGUUGCUAACAUAAAACUAUUCCAAGCAAAACACGCUGAACUACGGAGUUGUUAUGAUUGACCCACCAAAAAGAAGGUGCAUCUUAUCUUAUUAAUAAUCACUUUCAAUUCUGGUAAGUCUUUUUUAGUUAUUCUAUCCUCAAAGUCUUUAUCAUUUGAAUAUAGUAUCGAUUUACUCAUA
This is a long non-coding RNA of Cucurbita moschata (crookneck pumpkin), 669 nucleotides long. RefSeq lists it as uncharacterized. The record is from RefSeq and is a predicted model, not a curated record. NCBI's taxonomy places the organism in Eukaryota, Viridiplantae, Streptophyta, Magnoliopsida, Cucurbitales, Cucurbitaceae. The transcript has 2 exons.